This 394-nucleotide ribosomal RNA is filed under the name uncultured bacterium. RNAcentral describes it as "bacterial SSU rRNA". It matches the Rfam family "Bacterial small subunit ribosomal RNA", at positions 29 to 409 of the family's 1533-position model. The record is from RNAcentral.
AAUCAACGCUGGCGGCGUGCCUAACACAUGCAAGUCGAACGCGAAAAGGGGCAACCCUGAGUAGAGUGGCGUCCGGGUGAGUAACACGUGGAUAAUCUGCCUGCGGGCGGGGAAUAACUUUCCGAAAGGGGGCGUAUACCGCAUAACACCGUAAUAGGGCAUCCUGAUACGGUCAAAGAGGGGGAGUCGCAAGACCUCUCGCCUGCAGAGGAGUCCGCGGCCGAUUAGCUAGUUGGCGAGGUAACGGCUCACCAAGGCAGCGAUCGGUAGCCGGCCUGAGAGGGCGAACGGCCACACUGGCACUGAAAUACGGGCCAGACUCCUACGGGGAGGCAGCAGUGGGGAAUUUUGGGCAAUGGCCGAAAGGCUGACCCAGCAACGCCGCGUGAAGGAU